GGCUUAUUGAGAAUAAUUUUAAGUCUGGCCUGCCCACUGAUUAGUUUAAAUGGCCGCGGUAUUUUGACCGUGCAAAGGUAGCAUAAUCAUUAGUUUUUUAAUUGAAAGCUUGAAUGAAGGGUUUAAUGAAAAAGUAUCUGUCUCUGUUUAAAUUUUAUAAAAUUUUAUUUUUAAGUAAAAAAGCUUAAAUAAUUGUAGAAGACGAGAAGACCCUAUAAAGUUUAAUAUUUGUGUUUAAGAUUGGGAUUUAGUAUUUUAAAAAUUUUUAAUAUAGGUAUUUAAUUGGGGUGAUUGAAAAAUUAAAUAAACUUUUUUUUUAUAAAGUCAUUUAUUUAUGAAUUUUUGAUCCUAAAUUUUAGAUUAUAAGAAAAAAUUACUUUAGGGAUAACAGCGUAAUUUUUUUUUAGAGUUCAAAUUAAAAAAAAAGAUUGCGACCUCGAUGUUGGAUUAAAAAUAAUUAUUGGUGUAGAAGCUAAUAAAUUAAGUCUGUUCGACUUUUAAAAUUUUACAUGAUCUGAGUUUAAACCGGUGUAAG
This 535-nucleotide ribosomal RNA is filed under the name Cryptorhynchinae gen. sp. ARC4833. RNAcentral's name for it is "partial 16S large subunit ribosomal RNA". It matches the Rfam family "Bacterial large subunit ribosomal RNA", at positions 1819 to 2625 of the family's 2925-position model. Lineage: Eukaryota; Metazoa; Arthropoda; Insecta; Coleoptera; Curculionidae. The record is from RNAcentral.